AGUGAACGCUGGCGGUAGGCCUAACACAUGCAAGUCGAACGGCAGCACAGUAAGUGCUUGCUCUUACGGGUGGCGAGUGGCGGACGGGUGAGGUAUACAUCGGAAUCUACUCUUUCGUGGGGGAUAACGUAGGGAAACUUACGCUAAUACCGCAUACGACCUACGGGUGAAAGCAGGGGAUCUUCGGAUCUUGCGCGAUUGAAUGAGCCGAUGUCGGAUUAGCUAGUUGGCGGGGUAAAGGCCCACCAAGGCGACGAUCCGUAGCCGGACUGAGAGGAGGAUCGGCCGCACUGGAGCGGAGACACGGUCCAGACUCCUACGAGAGGCAGCAGUGGGGAAUAUUGGGCAAUGGGCGCGAGCCUGGUCCAGCCAUACCGCGUGGGUGGAGGAGGCCUUCGGGUUGUAAAGCCCUUUUGUUGGGAAAGAAAAGCAGCAGGUUAAUACCCAGCUGUUCUGACGGUACCCAAAGAAGAAGCACCGGCUAACUACGUG
This 492-nucleotide ribosomal RNA is filed under the name uncultured bacterium. Its description in RNAcentral is "partial 16S ribosomal RNA". It matches the Rfam family "Bacterial small subunit ribosomal RNA", at positions 29 to 507 of the family's 1533-position model. The record is from RNAcentral.